CCUACGGGAGGCAGCAGUGGGGAAUAUUGGACAAUGGGCGAAAGCCUGAUCCAGCAAUGCCGCGUGAGUGAUGAAGGCCUUAGGGUUGUAAAGCUCUUUUACCCGAGAUGAUAAUGACAGUAUCGGGAGAAUAAGCUCCGGCUAACUCCGUGCCAGCAGCCGCGGUAAUACGGAGGGAGCUAGCGUUGUUCGGAAUUACUGGGCGUAAAGCGCACGUAGGCGGCUUUUUAAGUCAGGGGUGAAAUCCCGGGGCUCAACCCCGGAACUGCCCUUGAAACUGGGAAGCUAGAAUCUUGGAGAGGCGAGUGGAAUUCCGAGUGUAGAGGUGAAAUUCGUAGAUAUUCGGAAGAACACCAGUGGCGAAGGCGACUCGCUGGACAAGUAUUGACGCUGAGGUGCGAAAGCGUGGGGAGCAAACAGGAUUAGGUACCCUGGUAGUCCACGCCGUAAACGAUGAUAACUAGCUGUCCGGGUUCAUGGAACUUGGGUGGCGCAGCUAACGCAUUAAGUUAUCCGCCUGGGGAGUACGGUCGCAAGAUUAAAACUCAAAGGAAUUGACGG
Molecule: ribosomal RNA, 561 nt
Filed under: uncultured bacterium
Lineage: Bacteria
Description: bacterial SSU rRNA
Rfam family: Bacterial small subunit ribosomal RNA
Source: RNAcentral